Molecule: unclassified non-coding RNA, 3353 nt
Filed under: Leishmania donovani
Lineage: Eukaryota; Euglenozoa; Kinetoplastea; Trypanosomatida; Trypanosomatidae
Description: gene:LdHU3.20.0460(CDS-product:Sugar_(and_other)_ transporter/Major_Facilitator_Superfamily_putative)
Source: RNAcentral
UGAUCAACGCAAACGCGUUCUCUGAUCUGCUUUUUCGCGUGCAGGAACGCCCUAGCUUUCUCUGCACCUGCUGUGGCGCCUCUCUUCUAUUUACCCAUAUAUAUGUGAAUACACAUAUGUGAUCUUGUAAACUUGUGUGCUUGUUUGGAGGCCUGCGGGGCGUCAUACUUGUUUCAGCAAUCCUGUGUGACUAUGCCCUCCUCCGACGCACGCUACCUCUCUUGAUACGUCUAGCUCGCUACGCGUGACUAAUCUUAUCCCUUCCCCGCUUAUUCCAGCACGAGUGCGCGCCCGUGCUAGCGGCCGUCUCUGUGGGUGCGUGUGCGCGUGCAGACGGCGUCUUCUUUAUUCCUUUAUGGGCUAUCCACCUAUUUCUCCCAAGCUGCACGUGUCUUCGUUCGAAUACGACCUUAGCAUCUGAUUGGCUUGGCGCACUGCCAAUUCCGGCUACCGUGAAGCCGUGUCGGUUGCCGCGCUCUCUCUUCGCCUCCGACUCACUCGCACAUCCGCAGCGUCGGCUUUAUUGUUGUGAGCCUCGCUGUCGCCAUCACAGCCUGGCACACACACAUACAUAUAUAUGUAUGUAUAUAUAUAUAUAUGAAUACACGCCCUCCGUCAACGUACGCGCACAUCUGCCGCAUCUUUUCCACAGCCCUGUGGUCAAUCGUCUCUGUGAAUCGCCUCAGCGGAUAAAGAACGGGCAUCCCCCCCCUCCCCCCCACACACACACACGCACGCGCGCAGAGCAACCAAUCAUGCCGGCGACGCUCAUGAAUGAGAAAGGUGACCCGUGGCGGUGGGUCGUGCUAGCCCUUUUCUGCCUCUACAGCGCGUCGAACGCAAUACAGUGGAUCACGUACUCGUCGAUCGCGACGGCAACUCGCACCUUCUUUGACCUGACGACGAAUCAGCUGAACAUGCUCUCCUCCGUCUACAUGAUCGUCUUCGUCGUCGGCGCCUACUUUACCUGCACAACCUUUGAGCGCUGGGGGGUGAGGCGUGGUGUUCUUAUCGGAUGUGAACUGAACGCCAUGGGGUCGAUCCUGAAGGUGGCCCCCGGGUUGCAGAAGCCGUGCUACCUCACCCUGGUUGUGCCGCAGACCCUCAAUUCGAUCGCGCAGCUCUUUGUGCUGUCGACGCCGCCGCUGAUUGCGGCGCAGUACUUUGCGCCGCACCAGCGUACCUUCGCGACAGCCAUUGCAGCCACGGCGAACAGCCUCGGUAACGCCAUCGCUCUUUUCGCACCACCCUUGAUCGUCAGGUCUAGUACCGGCACCACGAAGGAGUUCAUGCUGUUGUUCUGCCUUGAGAUGGGCUUCUGCGUCUUGAUCACUGUCGGCGUCUUCCUCUUCCUGCGGCCACCAAGCUUCAAGGCACCCAGCCAGGCACUGCUCGGGGAACUCGCGUCUGCCGAGGGUCGCGCAGCGAGCGGCCGCGCGCAGCGCCCUGUUGCACAGCAGCUGCAUCAGCGGCGCGGUGACCGAGAGGAGGGGGUCGCUCCCGACGAGUUGCAGAGUGAGGCCUGCAGUAAUGUGCAGAACGGCGACCGCAGCAGCGUUGAGGAUAAGAACGAUGACAGCGGCGUCGGCGCAGGACGAGGCCGCGCUGUCGCUCACGGCCAGCGUCACACGGCGUCAGGUGAACCAAUAGCAUCACACAUCUCUGCGUGCGCCGGUGCACGCGGCAACAACACCAGCGUCAACCGCCCUGUUGUUGAAUUCGCGGAUGCGGAAGGUACGGCUAAGCCGGGCGGCGGUGCCUACAGCGCGCAGGAGGUCACUCUGGACCCAUCCCCGGAUUUUUACACCGAGUUUGACCGCGGCAGCAUGAGCAAGCACAAGGCGAUGACGAUGUGGCACCGGCUUCGGCACAACGAGCACGUGAUCACGUUCCUCGAGGUCGGUCACACCAUCUACCUACUUCUAUGCCGCCGCGACUUCGUCUUUUUGCUUGGCGCCUUCAGUAUCAGUAUGGGCAGUGUCUGGACCUACGCCUCUGUGCUGGCGCAGAUCUUGGAGCCCUUCGGCGUGGCGGCCGAGCUGGCUGGCGGCAUCGGUGCUUUCAACGUUAUUGUCGGGACGGUGGUGUCCUACCUGGUCGGCCUCUGGGUGGACCGCACACGGCACUAUAAGUACCCUCUGCUGGUUUGCUUGAUGGGCUCCGUGCUGUGCUGCAUCGGGCUCAUCAUCAUCAUGCUGAAGGCGCCGAGCCACACCCGCACAAUGGAUGGGCUCUGCUCUUUCAUCUACAUCUUUGCCGGCGUCUUCCAGAACACCGCCAUUCCGAUCUGCUUCGAGUUCGCGAUGGAGAUCUCCUACCCACUGCCCGAGUCCGUGCCCGGCGCCCUCCUCAUGGCCGGCGCAAACCUGUGCUCUCUAAUCAUGCUCUCCGUCGCCUCUAUGAUGCUGGGCAACGGCGUUGCAUCGACCUCGGCGUGUGUCAGUGUGCUCAUUCUCAUCACGUGCGUGUGCGUUGUCGGCGCCAUUCUCGCUGUUUUCCCGCGCGAGAAGCUCUACCGUCGCGAUGCAGAGGUGGAGGCACGGCAGCAGUUGGUGGCCGCCUCCGCCGACAGCUAUGCGGCUAGCACUGCGGCGACUCGUCAGUUCUACGCGAACUCAUUGACGGCGCAUCCGCAUCCGCAGCCGCCGCUACCGCUGUCAGGGCUGGAGAAUGCUAGGCGGGGUGCACCAGCGCCGCUCAGCGGCGCCACCGGCAAGGACGCGGAGACCGAGAAGGAGAUGCUGCCGCGUGCGGCACGCCGGCCUUCCGAGACAAAGGCGCCUCCUGCCGUCGUCGCGGUGUGCAAGAGCGUCUUCGCCGAUGAUGAGCUUCUCGACGACGCCCUGGUGGAUGCGCGGCAGCUGCAGAACCGAAUGACGCGAGAGGAGAUGAAUGGCGGCACGCCGGGACUGGCACAACACCAAGAGGAGGAGAUGUGCGCGCGGCACCGCUGAAGUCGUCAACGCGUCUACAACCCCUCAACCACACAUGCUCACCUCCGCUUCGCGUUGCUCGGAACUCCUCCCACUACAUGGACGCGACAACGAUGACGAGUGUGCUUAGUAUUCUUUCAGCUGUGCGUGUGCGCCGGUGGAUGUGAAUAUGCGUGCCUGCCCGAGUGUAAUGUGCGAGCGACGCUACUCUCGCCUCAACGACUCGCCUGCUUGCGCCCGUCGUUUUUUUGAGCUGACUGCGGUCUUGCUCGGCGUAGCCAUGCCGUGAGCGUUCUCUGCGUUUGCAGGCGCGCGCGCACACACACACGCACGCACACAGCGUGUGCACCAGAAGGCCCUUCUGCGUAAAGGACACGCCCACCUAUCUUCAGAUAAUCAAUCUCUAGAGCGAAAGCGAGC